UUUGAGAAUUACAUGGGCAAUUUUUUGUGCCAAUCCGGUCAGGUUCGAAAGAAAGCAGCUGUAACACUGAGAGUUGGGUCGUGUAAUUCUCUUCUGA
RNAcentral lists this signal recognition particle RNA (97 nucleotides) under Alphaproteobacteria bacterium. Its description in RNAcentral is "signal recognition particle sRNA small type". It matches the Rfam family "Bacterial small signal recognition particle RNA". Rfam says of the family: The signal recognition particle (SRP) is a universally conserved ribonucleoprotein involved in the co-translational targeting of proteins to membranes. Archaeal SRP consists of a 7S RNA and homologues of the eukaryotic SRP19 and SRP54 proteins. In most bacteria, the SRP consists of a 4.5S RNA and the Ffh protein (a homologue of the eukaryotic SRP54 protein). Lineage: Bacteria; Pseudomonadati; Pseudomonadota; Alphaproteobacteria. The record is from RNAcentral.